This is a long non-coding RNA of Chinchilla lanigera (long-tailed chinchilla), 906 nucleotides long. RefSeq lists it as uncharacterized. The transcript has 3 exons. The record is from RefSeq and is a predicted model, not a curated record. Lineage: Eukaryota; Metazoa; Chordata; Mammalia; Rodentia; Chinchillidae.
CCAGGGUUUGUCUCUGCUGAGAGAUGCUAAUGUUGAUAAAUGCUCCAUCUCCAUACAGUUGUGCCGUCCCAGCCCCCCAGUUAGGUGUGAAAAGCCUUUGGAGAUUGGCUGCUGCACCAUGGCCCUGAGUGUUGCUCAGUCAAAAUGAAGGUUUGAAUUUCCUUAUUUGGGCCAAGAGUGUUAUGUGAGCUGGAUGGACCAACUAGCUCUUAAAGGCAAGAUUGUGCACCCUGAGUGGACAAAGCCAGGCAGCAGCGUGCCUCCCAGCAUGGUGUCUGAGCCACACUGACAACGGUCUGCGAGGAACAUGCCCUGUGAUCCCACAAUACUCACAGCGAGGUCAGUAUGAAGGAUGAUGAGCACUGGUGCAGGGCACUGUGUACCAACAGAUACGGCCGAGCGUCCCGCACAUCACCAACAGCAAGAAACCAAGAAACUGGAAUCUGGGACGAAUUUGGCCAGCAAGGAGAAGGGUCCAGCAGUUAGCAACUGUAUUUAAACUGAAGCAGCCUGCAAAUUUUACCUUUUGGUUUUAUCACUGUCAGUAUGGUUCCUCUCCUCCCCCCCACCCCCUUUUUAUUUACUUUUUGCUUGUUCUUCAUCCUUUUCUUGGACUUCACUUUGGGGCCUGUCUGGUUUCUUUUCCACCUUUCUAUUAUCUCUCUGCGCACUUUCUCAUCUGCUCUUCUAUCGCCAUGUGACAGCUGUGCCUGUGUAACUUUGUACCCUUCUUCGUGACUUUUUCUGUCUCUGUCUUUGUCUUGGUGUCUGUCUCUGUGUCUGUGCCUUUUGGAUUCCUGCUCCCAUUCCAUUUCAUGUUCUUUCUGUUCAUGUGGUAUGAAUCACUGUAACAUCUCUGGUGAUCCCCUUCACCCCUAUUAAAUGAUCGAUCCCAUGGCGGUUGGU